Thalassophryne amazonica is the source of this 90-nucleotide long non-coding RNA. RefSeq lists it as uncharacterized. Lineage: Eukaryota; Metazoa; Chordata; Actinopteri; Batrachoidiformes; Batrachoididae. The record is from RefSeq and is a predicted model, not a curated record. The transcript has 3 exons.
UACAUGAGUCCAGAACAUGAAACACAGUGAGUCCAAAACUGGGGAACAGUUCAAAUUAUCAGGAAUACAGGAGGAGCACAAAGGAAAAGG